RNAcentral lists this unclassified non-coding RNA (823 nucleotides) under Hevea brasiliensis (rubber tree). The record is from RNAcentral. Lineage: Eukaryota; Viridiplantae; Streptophyta; Magnoliopsida; Malpighiales; Euphorbiaceae.
AAGCAGUUCAGAGCAAUGAACAAGCUCAAAAAACUCGCAUUGAAGGUCAUUGCGGAAAAUUUAUCUGAAGAAGAAAUCAAGGGUCUGAAAGCUAUGUUUCACAACAUUGAUACGGACAAUAGUGGCACAAUCACUUAUGAAGAACUGAAGUCGGGAUUGGCUCGGCUUGGAUCAAAGCUAACGGAGACUGAAGUCAAGCAACUCAUGGAAGCUGCUGAUGUGGAUGGAAAUGGAUCAAUUGAUUACAUUGAGUUUAUUACUGCAACGAUGCAUAGACAUCGGCUAGAAAGGGAUGAGCAUCUUUUUAAAGCUUUUCAGCAUUUUGACAAGGACCAUAGUGGAUUCAUCACGCGAGAUGAAUUGGAAAACGCUAUGAAGGAAUAUGGUAUGGGUGAUGAGGCCACCAUCAAGGAGAUAAUCGCAGAGGUGGACACUGACAAUGACGGUAGGAUCAAUUACGAGGAGUUCUGUGCUAUGAUGAGAAGUGGAACAACACAACCACAACAAAAGCUUUUCUAGUGCAUCGAGAGCAAAUUACCCUUGCAACGAGCAGAGAACGUUCACCAGCCAGCACGAUGGAGAGAUGUCUAUCACGAGAGGAUCAGUAACUUAACAUACUUCCAUAUUUCUUCAAUCCUUCAGCUAUCUUCAAAAAGCACUGGAGUACAUGAGACCUUUUUCGUGUAGGUUGAGUUCGCGUGGAAAAUGUGUGUAUAGCUAGUUAAUGGUAUAUUUCGAGUUUCUUGUAAUGUAUUUGAUCCCCCUUCGUAAUUUUGUGUGGAUCGCGUUGUGAAGUUGACCUCCCGUAGAGAUUAUAACAAGA